AAGAGAAACUCACAUCUACUACUAUGAGAGUUAGUUAGUACUCCCUUAUUUCUGCUUAUCGCCUGUUAUAAAAUUACAACAAUGCCUUGCUAGCUGACUUAACGUUACUUUUCCACUGUCGACGCACUGUUUCCUGAAGCAUUCUGCCCUGUUCUGAAAGAACUCCCAGGGUUUACCGUCAUGUUGUGGAUGUUUGGUCAGGACGAGUCGUUUUAUUAAUUUGUUCAUUAUGCGAGUCUCAUUACUAAGCACUUCCACACACAAAACUCAUUGUGGGCGCUCCUCAUAAGUUUGUAUGAAAGAGAGAGAAACUCAUCACUGUGUUUGCGUUUCAUGACGAUUGAGCUCAGUCAGAACUUGUGGCUAGCAUGAAUCCGUUUUAUGACAGCUGUGAGUUGAUGGUGAGUGGGAAUAACAAGUCAGUGGUUUGAACGACAGCGCUGCAGCGUGUGGGUCACGGAGUGAUCUUCAAGAAAACUGCAGAAAAAAGAUCCGGUAAACCCCGAAGCACAUGGGCAUCUCCCUCUAUCUCUCCCGAGCAGAGACCGAGCAGAGACCGAGCAGAGACCGCUGCUUUAGCAGAAAGUAACUGAACAGAGAGCGCAGUUGCGCUUGGCCAAAUCAAUUCCAGUAAUGAAUGAAACAAUUAUAAAUCUACACUGACACGUCGCGUCCCAUACUUUAAGAAAGGCGGGUGUAGAUGAAGGGGAGGAGACAGGUUAAAGAAGGAUGUCUAAGCCUUGAGACAAUUGAGACAUGGAUUGUGUGUGUGUGCCAUUCAGAGGUGGAAUGGGCAAGACAAAAGAUUUAAGUGCCUCUGAACAUGGUAUGGUAGUAGGUGCCAAGCGCACCGGUUUGAGUCAAGAACUGCAACGCUACUGGGUUUUUCAUGCUCAACAGUUUCCUGUGUGUAUCAAGAAUGGUCCACCUUCCAAAGGCCAUCCAGCCAACUUGUGGGAAGAAUUGAAGUCAACAUGGGCCGCGCAUCCCUGUGGAACGCUUUCGACACCUUGUGCCCGGAUGAAUUGAGGCUGUUCUGAGGGCAAAGGGGGGGAAUGCAACUCAAUAUUAGGAAGCUGUUCUUAAUGUUUUGUGCACUUAGCCAGUAUAUGUAUGCCAUAUUUGAUGCUUUAUCAACCAUCUUAAUAUGUUGGCUAAAGUACUUGAAGACGUAACACCCUUAAAGGAGUUUACUAGCUAAGGCUGCCUAAUAAUGAAACAAUAGCUUCUGCGUGGAAUUUCCUAUGUUGGCACUAACCAUUUAUAAAAGGGCGUUUGUUAAAUAGUGGACUUGGGGGCAGACUGUUUGUUUCAGGCCAGUCGAGUUUGAACGCAGGCAGCAUGUGGAGGAAAUGGAUCGCUUAGGCCCACUGAGGUUCAAUAGAAUCUGGGAUCGCAUUAAGGAAUGGAUAGUUGUUUUUGCAGGGAGCUAUUGUGUUCCUGUUGUUUACCAACCAGUAGCCAGUGUGCAUAAGGCACCGGAACAGCUCUGUGGAAAUCAAAAUGGAGGCCUGAUAUCCACUCCUCGUUUGUUACAUUGGAGUGGAUGCCCAGAUGAGACCCACAGAGGACAUUCAUAGAGGGUUCAUAAAGAGGGUUAUAACUUAAGUUGCAUAUAGAUUUCAAGCUGUGUUGUCUAAUGUCUACCUCUGUCUUGGGCUGUUUUGUGUGAUGGAAUGUAUGUGUAUCUUGUCCUGGUGUAGGCAGUGAUGGGGAGAGCAGUGCAGUGUCUAAUAAUGAGCCUGAUGUGGAGUACACUGAAGUGGUACACCGUCAACCUGUGGACCCUGCCAGAGUUCCCCUGAGAAAAGGCACAGAAUCGGUGUACAGUGAAGUCCAGAACUCCCCAUCCGGUACACCUGGUGACCAUUAUGACAAUCAGGGUUCAGUGGAGUACGCCUAUCUCAACGGUGACCAACCGGAGGUCAACCAGGACAUGCUGGAGGUCAAUCACCAGGACCACCAUGACCUGGAGUAAAGGUUACCUCUGAUCCCUCGCGACACCUCACUCUAGGACCACAAACUAAAUUAUCCCCACCUCUGCCCCCGACCUUAACCACAGUCCUUAUUGUCAUAUUGUUCUUAUAUUCUGUACCUUUUCCCUAGAAGGAAAAUUGUUGACUCAUGUAAGCUGUAGGUAUUUUGCAUAGUUUUAUAGCCAAGUAAAAUCACAAAUCCUAAUUAGGACUUACUGUAUAGUUCUAUCAUACCUUGUAGACUUAUCUUUGUUUACCUUUUCAUCAUGUCUCAUAACCAUAGAGGUUGGGACAGAGUUCAGUUAGCCUGGCCCCUCCCUCGAACACAGUUCUCUUUCAUCUCCUAAAUGGACAGCAUGACAGUUAUGCUCUGUCAUGAUGGCUAAAACAAUCCCCCUUUCAGACUUCCGUUGCAGGGCAGUGUGAGUGGACUGAUAACCUCCCUACUGUCACUAGACUGGGUCCACACCUAAACCAGGGCACACUCCUGUAGGGCCAUCCCUGAGUCACACUAUGGCAAUAACUAUGGGAAAAAAGAGUGAAUGUAAACAGAGGAUCUGCCUGUCACCAGCUGCUCAGCCUGAUGGUAUAUGGUGUUUGUGAUGUCACAUCCUGCCAGGCUGUGUCCAAGUGUGUCGAAAGUUGGAGGGAGAACAGUGUCAGGCCUGAAGUGACUCAGACAUACAGAAUUGUACAUGGUUUUAAAAUACCUUCUUACUGCAGUUACUGUUUUUGUAAGGUCACACACAAAAUAAUCCAAGUAAAGUCAAGGUAAUGUUAAAAAAUAAAUAAAAAAUAAAUCUUUCUAAACUUUGAGUAUCGUAUGUUAAGUUAUUACGGUGUGUUAUGCAAUACGUUAUAUUAAUAGAGAAUGGUUACAAUCAUCCUGUAAAUUACAACACCAUUGUAAGUUCUCCCGAGUGGCGCAGCAGUCUAAGGCACUGCAUGUCAGUGCUAGAGGCAUCACUACAGACCCUGGUUCGAUUCCAGGCUGUAUCACAACCGGCUGUGAUUGGGAGUCCAAUAGGGCGGCUUACAAUUGGCCCAGCGUCGUCCGGGUUAUGGUUUGGCUGGGGUAGGACGUCAUUGGAAAUAAGAAUUUGUUCUCAACUGACUUGCCUAGUUAAAUAAAGGUUAAAUAAAAAAGUAACCAAUAUCUAAUAUAGUGGUCUAUGAUUAUUGUAAUAUUCAGCAUGGCCAGUAGAGGGCAGCAUCCUCUUAAAAAUACAGUGACGUGUGUACAAGAAAAUUACUGCUGCCUUAUCCUCCACAGACCAUCGCUGUGGGGAGUUAUUGUUGUGUGGGUUCCGCCAUCUUGUGACUAAAAGUAGUAUGUGUCAGAUAGUUUCGAAUCAUAAGAGCGAUAAGGGCCCAUAUCUCCAAUUCUCGGCUUAGUAGUGCUGAUCUAGGGUGUCCAUAAUGUUAUUUAUUAUGAUUUAUAAAAGCUAUAACUGGUCCUAGAUCAGACAGCACUCCUACUCUGAGACGCAUUUCAAAUACAUAAUCCUGAUUCUGUUUUGUUUAUUUUGGAGAGGAGAAUCCUAUUGGGUUGUUUUUGUGAAACUAUAAUAAAUGUAGGCCUAUGCCAUCUUAAACUUAGAGCACUUGCAGAGUAACUCUGUCUUCUUAGAAACAGAUAAACACAAUUUUCACACCUUCACGCGUUCAUACAACUGUGACGCCUUCCUCGAGUACAGUGCAGACUGUCUAUCCUGCGUUGUACCCUCGUAAUCAUCUCUCGUUGUCUCGACAACAGAACCUACCGUCAAUUAUCUAAAUUGUCAUUUCCCCUAUUUGAUAACCUCAAUGCCAUUGUGGAACUGUAAUUGCAGCAUUGACAUGGCAACCACAAAUAAACCCUCUUCGUUCUAAGGCUCAUUUACAUAAUGUCCCCAGUUGUCGCUCUCGCUCUGUCAUCGUGGUCAGAAACCUGUUAAAGACUAAUUAAAGGACAUUACCAGGAUGACCGUAACAUCGCUUGAGUGCUUCGAUAGUUGGCCUGUGUUAAUGGAAUCAUGACGCUGUGCUUUUGGAUGAAUAAAUUCGGUUAAUUUGUGCGCACCAUUUUUCACAUCCUAAAUGGGAAGUGGAAUAAUAUGUUUUGCUGGAUCAGACAAGAUGAGAGUAGCCUAUAAUAUGAUAGUAAUAUAACUGUUAUGUAGCCAAAUAGCAUUGUUUUAUAGCUGAAACAUAUAGCAUCAUUGGCCUAAUGAAAUGGCAGGGACCAGGGUAACAGUUACAGUGCUCAUACAUGCUUCUAUUUGAAAUAUAAUUCCCAUUAUUGACUUACAGAUAAAAUAAAACAAUAGAUAAACAUCCUGCCACCCUUCCCGCCCAAUACUAUUGUUCCUGCCCAGCAGGCACUGUAAGUGUUGCUAAUACUGGCAUGUGGUGAAUGGGUGUGGAGAGAAACCUGUAUAUUUGUUUUGUCUAUCUGUCAUUACAGUAGCCGACUUAGUACUUAGUGUGUUUGCAUUAAUGGAAGUAGAUUGGACUGACUGUGAAAACAGGGCGGAAAAGAAUUAACUCGCAUGACAGUAGUUGAGAUGGUGUGGACAAACCAAGUGUGUGCAGAGCAACUGUCAAAUCAGUUCAUCAGCCAAUCGUGUGAUAGUUUAGAUGACUGUGAGAAGAGCUGGCACCCUUUAAUGCGAUGUUAGUCAUAACACCUACUAGUAUUUGUACAUAAGCAGAAAAGUUGUGAAGUUGUGUUAUCUGUCUGUGUUCGGAAGGAAAACACAUCUAUGUAAACAGCAUUAGGGUGCCAAACUUUAAGAAUUCUAUUAUCUGAAAUUAAGCAAGGGAAUGCAAGUAAACAGCCUAUCGUGCACUGUAACUAAUAGAUGUGUGUGAAUUACACCUCUUAGAUCCAUGCACGUUAUUUCUUUAAAAGGGUGAUGAAAAGUAUUGUCAUCUGGGUUCAAAAUAAAAUUCUGGGCAAUAGCAAUGAAUACAAGAACUUAACAUAGGCUGAAACCUGUCUGAAAGAAGUGCCCUGUCUGCUCUUGCCCAUAGGGCAGAGAAAGAAUACCAGUUUGUCACUGGUAUGCUGUCAGUUAGAUUGUUUGCACGUCCUUAUCUGGUCUAUUUGCAUUUAUGCAGCUCAGCUGUUAAAAUGGACUUUGUGUAAGCUUUAUUUGCCCUAAGCCAUCUUUAUUAAAUAUAUGCUGAAAAUGCAGUUUAUGACUGACUCGGUUGUAGAGUAUGUAUGUCAUCAGUGUUUCAGUAUUGACCAAUACUGUGACUAGCUUUUAGUGCACUCAAGGACGAUACAUAGACAAUUAGCUGCAGAGGUUUUGUUAGUAAUCACCAGCACACUGUUACAAUCAUGCCUAAAAGAUCACAAGACAAUCUAGGUCUAAGAUCCCUCCCAAUGUGUUCUCCAGUGUCAUAAAUCAUUUUAUAAAAAGGCUCAGUGUAGUGUAUUUGUAGAAAAUCAAAGGUGAGGAAUUAAAAAUAUAUAGAAGGUGUCCCUUUGAUAAGAGAGAUCAAGGAGCACACAGCACUUGUCUGUAGAUAUAGAACAUUUGACCUAUCACAGGAAAUUUUAAUCCAAAAUCAGUUAAAUAAAACAUUUCAAUUCUAAUAGUCUUCUAUGGACGAGGGACUUAUCUCGGAACACACAACCUAAAUAACUACCGCUGUGUACACCUUUUCAAGUUUGAAUGUCACGUGCACAAGUACAGUGAAUUGUCUUUCUUGCCCGCACCAAACCCAGCAAUGCAGUAAUCAAUAUAAUGUGGCACUAAAAAUAACAUAAGGUAGAACAAAAACACUAAAAUAGGAAAUAAGAACACAAGAAAGUAAGAAGCUAUACCGGGUCAAUUCUCUAUUCAUAUACUGUCCAUAUUGUCCAUACACACCAUUAUAUAUACUGUAUAUUUAUAUUCUGGUCUCUGACAUUGUUCGUUCUGAUAUUUCUUAAUUUAAAAAAAAAUGUGUGUUGUUUUUUUUGUUUAACGCUAGGUAUUACUGCACUGUUGGAGCUAGAAACACAAGCAUUUCGCUGCACCUGCUAUACCAUCUGCAAAUCUGUGUAGACAACAAAUAAACUUUGAUUUCAAGUCUAAGAAAUAUGUUUACAAUGACAGUAUCAAAAAUUGUGUACAAGGUUUUAUGCUAGCGUACUGUAAAUGUAAACAAUAUAAUACUAUAUUAUUUGUUACCUAAUUUUAUAUUGUACUGUAUAACAUCAAAUGUCAAGGUUACUGAAUGGAAACACCAUGUAUGAAUUAGAAAAAUUGUCAUUAUUAUUUUCAAUUCAUGAAAUUGACUUAUAUUAAUUCCCUAAACUGACAGUGUUGAGUUGAAUUUAAUUAAUUACAACAUUGCUGGCCAUAAUAACAACGUGGUAUGAGUAAGUGUUGUUUGACGUGUUCAGGAAGUACUGUACAAAGUCUGCGACGGUUAGGUCACAGGAGCUAGCUCACCCCAAAUAAGGAGCCAUCAGCACACAUCAUAAUGAUGUUUUCCUAUUCAUGGUCAUCACUAUGCUGACGCUGCACUGAAUACGUUGAUUAACCAGUUGUCAUUUCCCAAUAGACCUUUCCUCCAUAUAGAAUCUUUCUAGAUCCUUGAUAUCCUUCGUCUGCGUGUAUGGACUGCCCUCUUCAAUUCAAACCACAGGAGACUGAGCUUGCCAUUGCAAAAUAUAGAUUUGCUGGUAAAGUUACCAUAUAUUUGUGGAUUUUGAUGUGUGCUUGGGGUUAUUGUCUUGCUGGAAGACCCACUUGCGGCCAUGUUUCAGGGGACAGGAGCUGAUCUAUGCUACUAUGCCCAUCAAUGGGGCGCUGGCAAAGACCUCACCUCGUGCUUGCUUUCCAAUGGUCGUCAAUGGGGAGAACAGAAAUAGAAACAUGUAUGAAGCCAGCACAUGGGGACUUGCAAGAUGAUGUGAUGAGGUCCAGAUGGGCUUGAUACUGAUGUCUCUGAAUGGAGAGAGACCUGGCACUCGGCAUAAAUCUUUUACUAGACAAAA
Molecule: non-coding RNA, 6954 nt
Organism: Salmo salar (Atlantic salmon)
Lineage: Eukaryota; Metazoa; Chordata; Actinopteri; Salmoniformes; Salmonidae
Source: RefSeq, a predicted model, not a curated record